This is a non-coding RNA of Schizosaccharomyces pombe (fission yeast), 1127 nucleotides long. NCBI's taxonomy places the organism in Eukaryota, Fungi, Ascomycota, Schizosaccharomycetes, Schizosaccharomycetales, Schizosaccharomycetaceae. The record is from the annotation of a GenBank genome assembly.
AAAGUAACAAAAGAGCUGUAAAGUUCAGGUAGAUUUUUAGCGACUUGAACCCAUGUUUUAAAGAUUUGAGCUAGGCUUGAGACGUCACUAUGUCAACAUGGAAUUUAUAUGUCGAAAGCAUAAUGUCAUUAUUGUCCGUACACUGAAUGCGACACCUAAACAAUUGAAAAUUAAUAAGGACUUGUCAAUCAGCAAACAUAUAGAUAUCUUAAUCAUUUCCCUCCUCUAUGACAAUUAGCAAUUUCAUAAAAAUGAACGAACAAAAUAGCUUAUGAUACAUUAUGAAAAGAUAUGAGAUCACAAAUAAAUCAUUGAGAAACUUUUGACCAACACUCGACAAGUAUUCAUAGUUGUUUAUGCAACGUAAUGAAUAGGUAUAAUAAAUUAAUAGAUAUGGGCAAAACAACCAUCACUAUGCUAAAAAAUUCGUAACUGAAGCCACCAUUUUUACCUAGGACUCACAUUCCAAAAUGGAUCUCUUACGUCGUUGUGAGCUAUUGGUAGGAAUACUUUGAUAAUCCUGAAUACCAGUAGAUGUUAACUGAAAAGCCAACUCUGAUUCUGCAGAAUGAGCUGGUGGCUGCUUUGCCAUGAAUGCAUAGCGCAGAAGCUGAUGAGAGGGACGACUCUGUCCAUCUUUUGAUUCUUCAGUUGAAUGCCUACUGUAAAGAAUGAGCCGAUAAGAUAGAUUAUCUAACCAAUUAGUGCUGAGAAGCGGUAUCAACUUAGCACCUAUCCCACUAACAACUUUUGAAGUCAUCUGGGUGGUAACAAAGAUAGCCACAUAACAAGAGGAUGUAAUUUUGCUUAACAAAGAACUGAUUGUACCGAUUGCCUUUUUUCUGCGGUUUAUUGUUGUUUUGGUAGAGGAGUUAUGAAAUGCAAAAUUCGAGUCGUCUUUACUCGAGAACUCAUUUUCUUUGUUUAACGUCAAAGUGUUUUCUUUUUGAGAUGAAUCUGAAAGGGAGCUUUUUUUGCUGGUAUUACGACGAAGACGUAGAUAAGCAUAAUCUUCUGGACUGGUUGGAUAUGCAAGUUGAAUAGGCAUUGAUAGGUUGUCAAUAAUUAAUAAUCCAAUUUCUUUAAGAUGUUUUUCUUGAUCGAAAUUUCGUAAAAAAGCUAGAAUA